UACGAAGGGGGCGAGCGUUGUUCGGAAUCACUGGGCGUAAAGCGUGCGUAGGCGGUCCCGCAAGUUGGGAGUGAAAGCCCAGGGCUCAACCCUGGAAUUGCUCACAAAACUACGGGACUGGAAUUCGGGAGAGGAUAGCGGAAUUUCCAGUGUAGUAGUGAAAUACGUAGAUAUUGGAAGGAACACCAGUGGCGUAGGCGGCUAUCUGGCCCGACAUUGACGCUGAGGCACGAAAGCGUGGGGAUCAAACAGG
RNAcentral lists this ribosomal RNA (253 nucleotides) under uncultured bacterium. RNAcentral's name for it is "partial 16S ribosomal RNA". It matches the Rfam family "Bacterial small subunit ribosomal RNA", at positions 524 to 776 of the family's 1533-position model. The record is from RNAcentral.